GUCUCUAUGGCCAAGUGGAAAAGGCGCAGAUCUCCUAAGUCUGUAUCGAUGGUUCGAAUCCAUCUAGGGGCG
Molecule: transfer RNA, 72 nt
Filed under: Paenibacillus sp. NAIST15-1
Lineage: Bacteria; Bacillati; Bacillota; Bacilli; Caryophanales; Paenibacillaceae
Description: tRNA-Arg
Rfam family: tRNA
About the family: Transfer RNA (tRNA) molecules are approximately 80 nucleotides in length. Their secondary structure includes four short double-helical elements and three loops (D, anti-codon, and T loops).
Source: RNAcentral